CCUACGGGGGGCUGCAGUGGGGAAUAUUGGACAAUGGGCGAAAGCCUGAUCCAGCCAUGCCGCGUGUGUGAAGAAGGCCUUCGGGUUGUAAAGCACUUUCAGUGGGGAAGAAAGCCUUGGGGCUAAUACCCUCGAGGAAGGACAUCACUCACAGAAGAAGCACCGGCUAACUCCGUGCCAGCAGCCGCGGUAAUACGGAGGGUGCGAGCGUUAAUCGGAAUUACUGGGCGGAAAGCGCGCGUAGGCGGUCUGAUAAGCCGGUUGUGAAAGCCCCGGGCUCAACCUGGGAACGGCAUCCGGAACUGUCAGGCUAGAGUGCAGGAGAGGAAGGUAGAAUUCCCGGUGUAGCGGUGAAAUGCGUAGAGAUCGGGAGGAAUACCAGUGGCGAAGGCGGCCUUCUGGACUGACACUGACGCUGAGGUGCGAAAGCGUGGGUAGCAAACAGGAUUAGAUACCCUUGUAGUC
RNAcentral lists this ribosomal RNA (465 nucleotides) under Vreelandella stevensii. RNAcentral describes it as "partial 16S ribosomal RNA". It matches the Rfam family "Bacterial small subunit ribosomal RNA", at positions 338 to 795 of the family's 1533-position model. The record is from RNAcentral. Lineage: Bacteria; Pseudomonadati; Pseudomonadota; Gammaproteobacteria; Oceanospirillales; Halomonadaceae.